Non-coding RNA from Triticum urartu, 125 nucleotides. NCBI's taxonomy places the organism in Eukaryota, Viridiplantae, Streptophyta, Magnoliopsida, Poales, Poaceae. The record is from Rfam.
CAUGUACUCUCUCUGUCCUGAAUUAUUUGUUGCAGAAAUGGAUAAAAAUGGAUGUAUCUAUAACUAAAAUACAUCUAGAUAUAUCCAUUUCUACGACAAGUAAUUCCAGAUGGAGGGAGUAGUAU